RNAcentral lists this transfer RNA (84 nucleotides) under archaeon. RNAcentral describes it as "tRNA-Leu". It matches the Rfam family "tRNA". From Rfam's summary of the family: Transfer RNA (tRNA) molecules are approximately 80 nucleotides in length. Their secondary structure includes four short double-helical elements and three loops (D, anti-codon, and T loops). The record is from RNAcentral.
GCGUCAGUGUCCGAGUGGUCUAAGGAGGUGGUCUUAAGAUCCACUAUGUUAAUGCAUGCGUGGGUUCGAACCCCACCUGGCGUA